CAACGAACGAAAGGAGGUGAUCCAGUGUCUCAUUGCCUAAAUCAGCCGCUUACCUCGGCUUACCGGACCUGGAACGUCGCCUCCGGCGCGCACGCUUAGCGCGUUAGAGGACCCCUCACCGGGUUCGGCCGAACGGACAAGCGGUUCGGCAAUGGAAGGGCCGCCCUGAUGGGGCGGCCCU
Small RNA from Methylobacterium sp. Leaf93, 181 nucleotides. It matches the Rfam family "caulobacter sRNA CC2171". The record is from Rfam. NCBI's taxonomy places the organism in Bacteria, Pseudomonadati, Pseudomonadota, Alphaproteobacteria, Hyphomicrobiales, Methylobacteriaceae.